Long non-coding RNA from Alligator sinensis (Chinese alligator), 4288 nucleotides. RefSeq lists it as uncharacterized. The transcript is spliced from 5 exons. NCBI's taxonomy places the organism in Eukaryota, Metazoa, Chordata, Crocodylia, Alligatoridae. The record is from RefSeq and is a predicted model, not a curated record.
CCGGGCGGGGAAGCCCGUGCAGGGCGGGGGCGCGGCGCCUGCUUGCGCUGCCUGGCAGGAGGGGAGGGGAGGGGAGGGGCCUUUCCGGCACCCCCUGCUCUGGUCUGCCCCGGCCUGAGGUGGGGCCCCCCCCUCCGUAAAAAGAGCCCAGGCCGCAGCUCCCUGCUCACCUCUUCUGCCCCCGCAUCGAGCAGGGUUUCUAGCCUCCCCUCCCGCCCCGCGGGUGGCUCUGUGCUGGGGCACAUCCCCCCAGAUGCCCCCUCAGACAGGGUUUGAGUGGCACUACAACUCCGAGGGGCAGCACCGUACCUAGACUCCUGGCGCCCCACCUUCGCCAGAGAGAAAUGAUCAUAAUUAUUUAAAAAUGACCAUUUCAUAGAUUUCAUAGACAUUCGGGGCUGAAAGGGACCUCAUGAGAUCAUCGGGUCUGUCAUCUAUUCCAUUCACUUUCUGUCUAGUGCCGGGUUUGCCCAUGCCUGUGUCUGGCCUAGGGCGGCCCUCGAGGUACCUCAGCUGUCCCCACCACCACGAACCUCACGUGCCUCCCACGGCUCGGGGGUCACGGCGAGCUCCCACAGGCGGCGGGAGCGGGGAGCUCCUUUAGGUUGAGAAACAUUGGACUAGAUGAUCUCCUGAGGUCCCUUCCAACUCCUCACCCGCUGAGACCCAGAGGUAGGACACAGCAGAACUAGGACCUGUCAAGGCCUUGGAGGCAACAGCACUGAGUGGGCCCCUUCUCCAGUCCCAGACAAGGCUUGGCUGCUUGCUCCACAUUGAGUGACUUUGCAGAAGGAGGCGAUAGGCUCAUGGUGUGGCUGUAGGGCUGGAGUCAGACCUCCGGUGGUUCCUCUCCAGCAUCAUGGUGCUUGACUUGGAUUGAAGGGACCUCACUUCUGAUCCUGGCUUUGUGAAUUUUGGACACAUCACUCCACCUCUCUAUGCUUCAGCUUUCCUGCAUGCGAAGAUGGGGUGAUACCAAGGUGAUAGGCCCAUGGAAAAUGCCAAAGACAGCAUGACAGUGAUAUUCACUCUGCCUAAAUCUUCGUUCACCUCAAGAUAUUAGGAGUCUGGUUUCAAAGCCAAAAGGGACCACUGGACUCUCCAAUAUAGCCUGCUGUAUAACAUGGGCCAGGGAAUUUCAUCCAGUUACUUCUGUAUUGAGCCCCAUAACUUAGGUUUGAUAAUAGUAUUUCUUUCCGAAAGGCAUCCAGUGUCGAUCUGAAGAUUUCAACAGCAGAACAAUUCACUGUGAACUGGUAUGAUGGACCUGAGUGAAAUUUUUGUCUUCAGUAGUGCUCAUUCACAUCUGUUUCUGAGCCUGGAGUCAGUAGAGGGGUGGUGGACUCUCUAGGGGACUGCAUCCUGCUGUAAUGUUUCUGUUUUCCACCAGACCUGAAUAACAGCAACAUUCUGCUAUAGAAGGAUAGCCCAUUUAUCAUGUUACCCAUUCCUUUGUAACUUUUGUGUUGUAGCGGUACCUCUGAGGUGCAUACUGACAUGAUGAAUCCUCAUGUUCAAGGUGUACAACUAAGUGCUAUUAAGUAUGAAACAUAAAAUGAUAGAGUCAGAAUUGGAAGGGACCUCAAAGGUUACUUAACCAACCCCACAGCGCAAAUACAGGAUGUGCUAGUCUGUUUCAAAACUUUUACUGGAGGAGGUUCCAUAGCUUCUCUAUGUUGCUUGUAUUACUGUACUUAGAUAGGAAGUUCUUCCUGAGAUUUAAUCUGAAUCUGCUCUUCCGUCAUGUAAACCCAUUGCCUUGUGGCCUGCCCUCUCUGGCAAGGCAGAACAAUAUUUCUCCAACAUUUGGCAGCCUUUUAAAUAUUUGAAGACUGCUAUCUAAUAUUUGAAGCCAUGCAAAUAUUUGAAGACCGCCACCCUUAAUCUCCUUUUCUCCUGACUAACCAUAUCUAGGUCUCUCCAUCGUUCCUUACACAGCUUGCCUUCUAAAACCUUUGUCAUCGUUGUUGCUUAUCUCUGGAUGCUUCAGGGUCUCUAUCUCCUUCUUAAACUGUGGUGCUUAGAACUUGACACAAUACUCUGGCUGAGGCCCAACUAGCACCAAGUACAGUGGUAUUAUUACCUCCCAUGCUUUGCAUAUAAUACUUUUGCUUUGCUAUUUUUUUUGUAACAGCAUCACACGGCCAACUCAUGUUGAUCUUGUGCUUCACCAUAACCCCAGCUCUUUUGUGGGUAUGCUACUGCUUAGCUAGUUAUCCCCAAUUUUGUACAUUUGGGUUUGACUUUCUUUCUCUUGUGUGUCACACCUUACACUUGCCUUUGUUGAAUUUCAUCUAGUAAUUGAUAGCCCAGUUCUCCAUUUUGGCAAGAUUCCUUUGAACUUUAAAUCUGUUCUCCAAAGUGUUGGCAACCUCCCACCCAGUUUUGUAUCAAUCUGUACCAAAGCCAUUAAUAAAAAUGUUAAACAUCACUGGGCCCAGAACAAAUCCCUGUGGAAUUCCACUUUGAGACUUCCUGCCUUUAUAACACUGAUUCAUUCACAGUUACUCUUUGCUUAUGGUUAUUCAAGCAUCAACAUGUCUACUUCACAAUAAUUUUAUCAAGCCCACAUUUCUACAAUUACUCAUAAGGAUUUGUUCUGGAUCUUGAUUCACAUAUUCACACUCUCUUUUCGUGUGAUACUGUACCAAAAGACAAAAGUCUGUAUGUUAUGACCACUGCAUUCCCCUCUGCAUCUGUCAAGAUGUUGGAUGGUCAUUCAUUCAUGCAUUCCCCUCACCCACUUAACUAGUUAUUCUGUCAAAGAACAAAAUCAAGUUGGUUGGGUAUGGUUUAUCCAUAAUAAAUUCAUAUAGGCUCCUAGUGAUCAUUCCUUUGUCUUUCAGGUCUUCACAGAUGGACUGUGUUACAAUUUGCUCUUGGAAGUUGGGCUGACUGGUUUAUAAAUGCAUUGUCUUCUAUGUGGCCCUUUUUAAAGAUGAGCACUAGGUUAGCCUUUCUUCAGUCCUCUGGGACUUCACCUGCCAUCCAUCACUUUGUAAAUAUUAUUGCCAGUAGCUCUGGGAUUUUUACAGCAGUUUCUGCAGCAUCCUGGGAUAAAUGUCACCAGUGCUUGCUAAUUUAAAUAGAUUCAAAUUUAUCAAAAGUUCUUUAUUUUUUAUGAUUUGAAGCCCUUUCCCUUCUUUGUUUAUAUUUAUUUUGUUAGUUGUCUGAUUGGAGGGGGGAGGAUGCUUUGUUUUCUUUUUUAGAAGUAGUCAGGUGCCAGCUCUGCUUUUUUUGGAUCUUCCAUUAAUAGCAUACCCACACCAUUGAACAUUGGAUUUACAGUUUCACUAGUCUUUCUUUUCUGUCUGACCUUCCUUGCCAGUUGCAUCUCAUUUUUCACCUUUGCUUUCCUGAUUUUGUCCUUAUAUAUUUUUGCUAUAUCCCUUGGUAUACUUUCUUAGUGACUCACCCUGGGCCUUUUUCUCCUUCCACCUAUUAGGAUAAAACUGGUUAAAACAAUCCCUUAGGAACUGCCAUUCCUGAUCUGGCCCAGGGUCCAUGUGACAGGGACAAGCUAUUUCAGAGGAAGUCUUAUUAACUACAUUAUUGCAUAUUUCAUACAAUAACAGCAUGGAAGUGAGCAUUCUGGAGGAAGGACUGCAUUUGGCUUUGAGAGAAGAGUGGAAGUGCUGUAUUUUUCUCUAGAGAUCUGGUUGUAAUAGUCCAGGAUAUAGUCUGGGUUCAUCAGAUUUUGUGUGUCAAUGCUAAAGUGGAUUAGGGUGGUAACUGCUCCACAUGUCACAUACCAUUUGCUAUGUUCAUAGAUAACACACUCCCACUCUCUCCUACAUGGUAUACAUGACAGAGUGUCAGUACAAAGAGGACAGGAAGGGCAUGGCUGUGUAUUUUCACAUGCUACUUUUAUUCCUUUUUCACAGAUGGAUGAAAGAACCCUGGAUCUACCCAGCCACAGCCUUUUGGUUUAUUUUUCCUUUUUGGUUGACAUUUUACUGAGCAUUUUAUUAUUUUAGAUAAAAAUCAUCUUUAAUUUCACACUGUGAGAUUGUUCUUAUUGCUCACUGAAAGGUUUUGCUCUGGAUCUUGAUUCACAUAUUCAUACUCUCUUUAUGUGCAUGAUGGAAAUCAGUCCUCUGGACCUCUCUCUAACUGGGACCAAACAAAUUCCUGUUUCAAAAAAAUGGGUCUGGUGGGUAAAUCAUUUAUUGUCACACAUGUCUGCCAUUGAUCCCUAGUUAGGAUGUCCUUUUGUGUUAUAGAAUAUUUAUUUUAUUCUGCACCUUGUGUAGUAAAUGGAAGACAGCAUCUUGAACUACAGAUAUAU